RNAcentral lists this ribosomal RNA (441 nucleotides) under uncultured bacterium. Its description in RNAcentral is "partial 16S ribosomal RNA". It matches the Rfam family "Bacterial small subunit ribosomal RNA", at positions 338 to 795 of the family's 1533-position model. The record is from RNAcentral.
CCUACGGGUGGCAGCAGUGGGGAAUAUUGGGCAAUGGAGGAAACUCUGACCCAGCCACGCCGCGUGAAGGAUGAAGGUUCUAGGAUUGUUAACUUCUGUUGCGCGGGACGAAGAAUGACGGUACCUCGUAAGAAAGCACCGGCUAACUACGUGCCAGCAGCCGCGGUAAAACGUAGGGGGCCGGCGUUGUCCGGAAUGACUGGGCGUAAAGGGAGUGUAGGCGGCAAUAUAAGUUAGAUGGGAAAUCCCGCGGCUCAACCGCGGAACUGCAGCUAAAACUCGAUAGCUGGAGUGCAGGAGAGGUGAGUGGAAUGCGUAGUGUAGCGGUGGAAUGCGUAGAUAUUAGGAGGAACACCGAAGGCGAAGGCGACUCACUGGAGUGUAACUGACGCUGAGGCUCGAAAGCGUGGGGAGCAAACAGGAUUAGAUACCCCAGUAGUC